AUCGCUUCUCGCCUUUUGGCUAAGAUCAAAGUGUAGUAUCUGUUCUUAUCAGCUUAAUAUCUGAUACGUCUCCUAAUGGAGACAUCGAUAUUAAACUGAUUUUUAGAAUGGGAUGAGGUGCCACGGGGCUUGCUCCGCCCUCAUCACGGGUUGACCCGGUAUUGCAGUACCUCCGGGAAUGGCCCACCACUC
RNAcentral lists this small nuclear RNA (192 nucleotides) under Haliotis rufescens (red abalone). RNAcentral describes it as "U2 spliceosomal RNA". It matches the Rfam family "U2 spliceosomal RNA". From Rfam's summary of the family: U2 is a small nuclear RNA (snRNA) component of the spliceosome (involved in pre-mRNA splicing). Complementary binding between U2 snRNA (in an area lying towards the 5' end but 3' to hairpin I) and the branchpoint sequence (BPS) of the intron results the bulging out of an unpaired adenosine, on the BPS, which initiates a nucleophilic attack at the intronic 5' splice site, thus starting the first of two transesterification reactions that mediate splicing. The record is from RNAcentral. Lineage: Eukaryota; Metazoa; Mollusca; Gastropoda; Lepetellida; Haliotidae.